This 451-nucleotide ribosomal RNA is filed under the name uncultured bacterium. Its description in RNAcentral is "partial 16S ribosomal RNA". It matches the Rfam family "Bacterial small subunit ribosomal RNA", at positions 29 to 523 of the family's 1533-position model. The record is from RNAcentral.
AACGAACGCUGGCGGCAGGCUUAACACAUGCAAGUCGAACGGGUGUAGCAAUACAUCAGUGGCAGACGGGUGAGUAACACGUGGGAACCUUCCUAGGGGUACGGAACAACUCAGGGAAACUUGAGCUAAUACCGUAUACGUCCGUGAGGAGAAAGAUUUAUCGCCCUUAGACGGGCCCGCGUCGGAUUAGCUAGUUGGUGGGGUAACGGCCUACCAAGGCGACGAUCCGUAGCUGAUCUUAGAGGAUGAUCAGCCAAACUGGGACUGAGACACGGCCCAGACUCCUACGGGAGGCAGCAGUGGGGGAUCUUGGACAAUGGGCGCAAGCCUGAUCCAGCCAUGCCGCGUGAGUGAAGAAGGUCUUCGGAUUGUAAAGCUCUUUUGCCAGGGACGAUAAUGACGGUACCUGGAGAAUAAGCCCCGGCAAACUUCGUGCCAGCAGCCGCGGUAA